Long non-coding RNA from Cyanistes caeruleus (blue tit), 639 nucleotides. RefSeq lists it as uncharacterized. NCBI's taxonomy places the organism in Eukaryota, Metazoa, Chordata, Aves, Passeriformes, Paridae. The record is from RefSeq and is a predicted model, not a curated record.
CAGCCUGGGGAGCAGCAGAAAGGCUUUACCUGGCUCCUCUCUUGCCCUUGAGAUCUUGACACCAAACUUUGCCUGCAACUCUGAGGUUUGGUGGUGGAAGCAGAGCUUGAAAGCACAGAACACGUCAAGUCAGCCAGAGUCACAAUUCCCACAAAGAAACCUGCUGCAAGAUAAAGAUAUUAAUUAAAAUUGGACAAAGGCACACAGCCUUUCUGCUGCACAUGGGCUGUGUCCAUUGGUGUUCCAGGAGGAUGUGUGAGGAUCUGCAGUAUUUUCACCUCUGCUCCUCUUCCCUGAGGAUGCACCGAGGCUUUGGCUGCCUGAAAGAUGAGGAAUUGCACCCAAACUGGUACCAUGUUGGACCUAAAUUAUGGGCAGCAAGUGGUUAACAAGUCUGCAAGGCUGGAAUGUUGGACAGAGAGUAAAAUAAAGCACCGUGCUGCAGGAAAAACCUAAUGUAUGUAAAUUGAAUGCCAAUUGAUUAAACAUAUUCAUUGAGGUUUCACUUCUAGGUCAUAAGUAAUGUAUCUAUUACAUACUUGUUAAACCUCAUUAAAUAAUUGCCUAGUGGUAUUUAACAUGCAAUAAGUAUCCCCUGAAAUUCAGCUAAAAUGUAUUCCUGCAUUUGCUUAGGAGCUC